UUUUCACAGUUGGAUCUGAAUUCGCUUCGUCGAAAGAAAAGAUCCAAGAUGGAAGAAAACUUCGGUUUUCCUCCGGGAGUGAACAGUCUUCCAGUUGGGUCUGGCACAUAGGACAGGAUCCAGAUUGGAGUCUUGUUGCUUUUCCCAUGACGAUAGGUCCCUUACUGAGAUGUAUCAAUUGCCCGUUCAAGUUACUAUAAGUACUCCAGAUGUAAAAGAAUUUAAAAAGAAACAUUUUCUUUCAGCAGUUUUUGCUUAUUGGAAAAUAAAAAGUGCGCAUCGCGGUGGAAUAAGGCGCUCGUCGAAAUGAAGAAAAUAUUGAAGAAUAUUUUUACCUACUGCAGGGCAAUAAUUAUCUGGGUUUUUUCCCCAACACAUUUUAUGUUCUUUUCAAAGCUCAUUUUUUUCUGAAGAUCGUUGAUCAGAGACACGAAAAAGUAAAUAAGUUGCAGUUUCCUAGGAGACUCGAGCUUGGAAGUCAGUAAACUUUGGCAGACAUGUUCUCGUUAAUUUUACCUCUGACAACAGGUGAUAUCAACCUCCUUCAAUCUCAAAUAUCGCAACUUCUAUUCAAGGAAGACGUGAGGGGAAGGGGGGGGGGGUUCAUGGUUCAUCAAAAGCGAAGAAAACGAAGAAUGAUCAACAUAAUAAUGUCAUUAACUCUAUUUGCUCCGCCCGGAAAGUGAGAAGCGCCAGAUUCUACCGCGUUGUGACACAAUAAAUCGUCUUCAGGUGU
Aplysia californica (California sea hare) is the source of this 736-nucleotide long non-coding RNA. RefSeq lists it as uncharacterized. The record is from RefSeq and is a predicted model, not a curated record. NCBI's taxonomy places the organism in Eukaryota, Metazoa, Mollusca, Gastropoda, Aplysiida, Aplysiidae. The transcript is spliced from 3 exons.